Molecule: ribosomal RNA, 708 nt
Filed under: uncultured bacterium
Lineage: Bacteria
Description: bacterial SSU rRNA
Rfam family: Bacterial small subunit ribosomal RNA
Source: RNAcentral
AGAGUUUGAUUAUGGCUCAGAACGAACGCUGGCGGCAUGCCUAACACAUGCAAGUCGAACGCUUUUGGGGCUUCGGCCUCAAGGGAGUGGCGCACGGGUGAGUAGCGCGUGGGAACCUGCCCUGUUGUGGGGGAUAACCGAGGGAAACUUCGGCUAAUACCGCAUGCGCCCGGGGCAACCUGGGGAAAGAUUUAUCGCAGCAGGAGGGGCCCGCGUCGGAUUAGCUGGUUGGUGGGGUAACGGCCUACCAAGGCACCGAUCCGUAGCUGGUCUGAGAGGAUGAUCAGCCACACUGGGACUGAGACACGGCCCAGACUCCUACGGGAGGCAGCAGUGGGGAAUAUUGGACAAUGGGCGCAAGCCUGAUCCAGCAAUGCCGCGUGAGUGAUGAAGGCCUUAGGGUUGUAAAGCUCUUUCGCCCGCGACGAUGAUGACGGUAGCGGGAGAAGAAGCCCCGGCUAACUUCGUGCCAGCAGCCGCGGUAAUACGAAGGGGGCGAGCGUUGUUCGGAUUUACUGGGCGUAAAGGGCGCGUAGGCGGCCUUCCAAAUCGAGUGUGAAAGCCCCGGGCUCAACCUGGGANNUGCGCUCGAGACUGGUUGGCUGGAGUUCGGGAGAGGAGCGUGGAAUUCCCAGUGUAGAGGUGAAAUUCGUAGAUAUUGGGAAGAACACCAGUGGCGNNNNCGGCGCUCUGGACCGAGACUGACGC